CCUACGGGUGGCAGCAGUAGGGAAUUUUGCGCAAUGAGCGAAAGCCUGACGCAGCAACACCGCGUGAAUGUUAAGCCCUUCGGGGUGUAAAGUUCUGUCAAGAGAGACGAAUUUUGACUGUACCUAUAAAGGAAGAACCGGCUAACUCCGUGCCAGCAGCAGCGGUAAUACGUGGUGUGAAAGCGUUGUCCGGAAUCAUUGGGCGUAAAGAUUUCGUAGGCGGCAAGGUAAGUCUGAUGUGAACGCACGGGGCUCAACUCCGGUUUGGCAUUGGAUACUAUCUAGCUAGAAUGUGGUAGAGGUAAAGGGAAUUCCUGGUGUAGCGGUGAAAUGCGUAGAUAUCAGGAGGAACAUCGGUGGCGAAAGCGCUUUACUGGACCAUUAUUGACGCUGAGGAACGAAAGCUAGGGGAGCAAAUGGGAUUAGAUACCCUUGUAGUC
Molecule: ribosomal RNA, 440 nt
Filed under: uncultured bacterium
Lineage: Bacteria
Description: partial 16S ribosomal RNA
Rfam family: Bacterial small subunit ribosomal RNA
Source: RNAcentral